GUGAACGCUGGCGGCGUGCCUAACACAUGCAAGUCGAACGGUAACAGGAAGAAGCUUGCUUCUUUGCUGACGAGUGGCGCACGGGUGAGUAAGGUAUAGGUAACGUGCCCCCCAGAGAGGGAUAGCCACUGGAAACGGUGAUUAAUACCUCAUACUCCUUCUUAACAUAAGUUAAGUCGGGAAACGGAUUUCCGCUGGGGGAUCGGCCUAUAUGGUAUCAGGUAGUUGGUGGGGUAACGGCCUACCAAGCCAAUGACGCCUAGCUGGUUUGAGAGGAUGAUCAGCCACACUGGUACUGAGACACGGACCAGACUCCUACGGGAGGCAGCAGUGAGGAAUAUUGCACAAUGGAGGAAACUCUGAUGCAGCAACGCCGCGUGGAGGAUGACGCAUUUCGGUGUGUAAACUCCUUUUAUCAGGGAAGAAGAUGACGGUACCUGAUGAAUAAGCUCCGGCUAACUCCGUGCCAGCAGCCGCGGUAAUACGGGGGGAGCAAGCGUUACUCGGAAUCACUGGGCGUAAAGGGCGCGUAGGCGGCCUAUUAAGUCAGGCGUGAAAUCCUACAGCUUAACUGUAGAACUGCACUUGAAACUGAUAGGCUAGAGUAUGGAAGGGGCAGAUGGAAUUAGUGGUGUAGGGGUAAAAUCCGUAGAUAUCACUAGGAAUACCGAAAGCGAAGGCGAUCUGCUGGGACAUUACUGACGCUAAGGCGUGAAAGCGUGGGGAGCAAACAGGAUUAGAUACCCUGGUAGUCCACGCCCUAAACGAUGAACACUAGUCGUCGGGGUACUCGUUACUCCGGUGAUGCACCUAACGGAUUAAGUGUUCCGCCUGGGGAGUACGGUCGCAAGAUUAAAACUCAAAGGAAUAGACGGGGACCCGCACAAGUGGUGGAGCAUGUGGUUUAAUUCGAAGAUACGCGAAGAACCUUACCUGGCCUUGACAUAUAGGAGAACCUGCUAGAGAUAGCGGGGUGCCUUCGGGAGCUUCUAUACAGGUGCUGCACGGCUGUCGUCAGCUCGUGUCGUGAGAUGUUGGGUUAAGUCCCG
Molecule: ribosomal RNA, 1049 nt
Filed under: uncultured bacterium
Lineage: Bacteria
Description: bacterial SSU rRNA
Rfam family: Bacterial small subunit ribosomal RNA
Source: RNAcentral